This 429-nucleotide ribosomal RNA is filed under the name Gemmatimonadota bacterium. Its description in RNAcentral is "Gemmatimonadetes bacterium partial 16S ribosomal RNA". It matches the Rfam family "Bacterial small subunit ribosomal RNA", at positions 355 to 776 of the family's 1533-position model. Lineage: Bacteria; Pseudomonadati; Gemmatimonadota. The record is from RNAcentral.
UAGGGAAUCUUCGGCAAUGGACGAAAGUCUGACCGAGCAACGCCGCGUGAGUGAAGAAGGUUUUCGGAUCGUAAAACUCUGUUGUUAGAGAAGAACAAGGACGUUAGUAACUGAACGUCCCCUGACGGUAUCUAACCAGAAAGCCACGGCUAACUACGUGCCAGCAGCCGCGGUAAUACGUAGGUGGCAAGCGUUGUCCGGACUUAUUGGGCGUAAAGCGAGCGCAGGCGGUUUCUUAAGUCUGAUGUGAAAGCCCCCGGCUCAACCGGGGAGGGUCAUUGGAAACUGGGAGACUUGAGUGCAGAAGAGGAGAGUGGAAUUCCAUGUGGAGCGGUGAAAUGCGUAGAUAUAUGGAGGAACACCAGUGGCGAAGGCGGCUCUCUGGUCUGUAACUGACGCUGAGGCUCGAAAGCGUAGGGAGCAAACAGG